This 2256-nucleotide ribosomal RNA is filed under the name Salmonella enterica subsp. enterica serovar Tamberma. Its description in RNAcentral is "partial 23S ribosomal RNA". It matches the Rfam family "Bacterial large subunit ribosomal RNA", at positions 612 to 2885 of the family's 2925-position model. Lineage: Bacteria; Pseudomonadati; Pseudomonadota; Gammaproteobacteria; Enterobacterales; Enterobacteriaceae. The record is from RNAcentral.
AGAACGGGCCAACGAGUUACGUUAUGUGGCAAGGUUAAGCACUUAAGGUGUGGAGCCGAAGCGAAAGCGAGUCUUAACUGGGCGAAUUAGUCACAUGACGUAGACCCGAAACCGGGCGACCUACCCAUGAGCAGGAUGAAGCGAAAGUAAAAUUUCGUGGAGGUCCGAACCCACGUACGUUGAAAAGUGCGGGGAUGACUUGUGGGUAGCGGUGAAAUUCCAAUCGAGCUCGGAGAUAGCUGGUUCUCCCCGAAAUAGCUUUAGGGCUAGCCUUGAAUGUAGAGAUGUGGAGGUAGAGCACUGAAUGUCCUAGGGGGUAUUGCACUUACCGAAGACUAUCAAACUCCGAAUGCCAUUAUCUUUUAUUCAGGAGUCAGACUAUGGGUGAUAAGGUUCAUAGUCGAAAGGGAAAGAGCCCAGACCGUCAGCUAAGGUCCCUAAAUGUAUGUUAAGUGGUAAAGGAUGUGGGAUUGCACAGACAACCAGGAUGUUGGCUUAGAAGCAGCCACUCAUUUAAAGAGUGCGUAAUAGCUCACUGGUCGAGUGAUCCUGCGCCGAAGAUUUCCGGGGCUAAAACAUACUACCGAAGCUACGGCAUCAUAAGAUGAUGGGUAGGGGAGCUUCCCAUGCAGGCUGAAGCGAUACCGUAAGGAGUCGUGGACAGUAUGGGAGAGAGAAUGUUGGCAUGAGUAGCGAGAUGAGGGUGAGAAUCCCUCAGGCCGUAAACCCAAGGUUUCCAGGGGAAGGUUCGUCCACCCUGGGUUAGUCGGGACCUAAGCUCAGGCCGAAAGGCGUAGGCGAUGGACAACAGGUUGAGAUUCCUGUACUACCGGUAAUCGUUUGAGAGAAGGGAUGACACAGUAGGAUAAGCUGAGCACACUGUUGGUUAAGUGUGUCUAAGCGUUGAGGCAGACUAGAUAGGCAAAUCCGUUUAGUUAAUGCUGGGGCGCGAUGGGGAGCGAAACUAAGUAGCGAAGCAGCUGAUUUCACACUGUCGAGAAAAGUCUCUAUCGAGAUUAAAGGUACCCGUACCGCAAACCGACACAGGUGGGUGAGGAGAGUAUCCUAAGGCCAGCGAGAGAACUGUUGUUAAGGAACUCGGCAAAAUGACCCCGUAACUUAGGGAUAAGGGGUGCCCCAGCAAUGGGGCCGCAGAGAAUUGGCCCAAGCGACUGUUUACCAAAAACAUAGGUUUCUGCUAAGUCGCAAGACGAUGUAUAGGAGCUGACGCCUGCCCGGUGCUGGAAGGUUAAGGGGAUCUGUAAGAGCAAUCGAAGCAGUGAUCUUAAGCCCCAGUAAACGGCGGCCGUAACUAUAACGGUCCUAAGGUAGCGAAAUUCCUUGUCGGGUAAGUUCCGACCCGCACGAAAGGCGUAACGAUUUGGGCACUGUCUCAACAACAGACUCGGUGAAAUUGUAAUCCCGGUGAAGAUGCCGGGUACCUGCGACAGGACGGAAAGACCCCAUGGAGCUUUACUGUAGCUUGACAUUGGGUUUCGAUACUACAUGUACAGGAUAGGUGGGAGACUAAGAAAUCAGGGCGUCAGUUUUGAUGGAGUCACCCUUGGGAUACCACCCUUGUAGUAUUGGGACUCUAACCAUAGGCCAUGAAUCUGGUCUUGGGACACUGUCUGGUGGGCAGUUUGACUGGGGCGGUCGCCUCCCAAAAGGUAACGGAGGCGCUCAAAGGUUCCCUCAGUACGGUCGGAAAUCGUACGAAGAGUGUAAAGGCAAAAGGGAGCUUGAUUGCAAGACAUACAGGUCGAGCAAGGUAGAAAUACGGACUUAGUGAUCCGGUGGUUCUGAGUGGAAGGGCCAUCGCUCAACGGAUAAAAGCUACCCUGGGGAUAACAGGCUUAUCUCCCCCAAGAGUCCACAUCGACGGGGAGGUUUGGCACCUCGAUGUCGGCUCAUCACAUCCUGGGGCUGUAGUUGGUCCCAAGGGUUGGGCUGUUCGCCCAUUAAAGUGGUACGCGAGCUGGGUUCAGAACGUCGUGAGACAGUUCGGUCCCUAUCCGUCGCAGGCGUAGGAAAUUUGAGAAGAUCUGUCCUUAGUACGAGAGGACCGGGAUGGACAUACCUCUGGUGUACCAGUUGUUCUGCCAAGGGCAUGGCUGGGUAGCUAUGUAUGGAAGGGAUAAGCGCUGAAAGCAUCUAAGCGCGAAGCCAACUUCAAGAUAAGAUUUCCCACCGCAAGGUUAAGAUCCCAGGAAGACUACCUGGUUGAUAGGUCAGAGGUGUAAGUGCAGCAAUGUA